This 170-nucleotide ribosomal RNA is filed under the name Eurypleuron owasianum. RNAcentral's name for it is "partial 12S rRNA". The record is from RNAcentral. Lineage: Eukaryota; Metazoa; Chordata; Actinopteri; Ophidiiformes; Carapidae.
CACCGCGGUUAUACGAGAAGGCCCAAGUUGAUAAAAAUCGGCGUAAAGAGUGGUUAAGAGCAAAUUUUUAUUAAAGUCGAACACUCUCAAAACUGUUAUACGUACUCGAGAGUUUGAAGAACUAUUACGAAAGUGACUUUAUUACAUCUGAACCCACGAAAGCUAGGAUA